This 85-nucleotide microRNA precursor is filed under the name Colobus angolensis palliatus. Its description in RNAcentral is "miRNA (ENSCANG00000006870.1)". It matches the Rfam family "mir-548 microRNA precursor family". The record is from RNAcentral. Lineage: Eukaryota; Metazoa; Chordata; Mammalia; Primates; Cercopithecidae.
CUAUUAGGUUGGUGCAAAAGUAAUUGCGAUUUUUGCCAUUACUUUCAAUGGCAAAAACUGCAAUUACUUUUGCACCAACCUAAUA